GAAAUGCGAUAAGUAAUGUGAAUUGCAGAAUUCAGUGAAUCAUCGAAUCUUUGAACGCACCUUGCGCUCCUUGGCAUUCCGAGGAGCAUGCCUGUUUGAGUGUCAUUAACAUCUCAAUACCUGUCUGCUUUUGAUGGGUAUUGGAAAUUGGGGGUUGCAGGGCUUGUAUAGCUUUGCUCUCCUUGAAUGUAUUAGUGGAGAAAAAGAAAGCUCAUUGAACUCCAUUGGUGUGAUAAAAUCUAUCAAUGCCAGGAACAAUGUCCAAGUUUCUCUGCUGUCUAAUCCAUGUCCAGUUUGGACCUCAUUUGACCAACUUGACCUCAAAUCAGGUAGGACUACCCGCUGAACUUAA
This 352-nucleotide ribosomal RNA is filed under the name Amanita fuliginea. RNAcentral describes it as "eukaryotic LSU rRNA". The stretch from base 1 to 105 matches the Rfam family "5.8S ribosomal RNA", at positions 50 to 154 of the family's 154-position model. Lineage: Eukaryota; Fungi; Basidiomycota; Agaricomycetes; Agaricales; Amanitaceae. The record is from RNAcentral.